GUAGCUCCAGUGAACCACAGUGAGAGCCGUUAUCCACAAAUGAGGAAAACAUGGAAAAGUGGUGAACCUUCCCUGGAGUGACAGGCCAACCAAAAUCCUCCAAGAGCGCAUCGACAACUCAUCCAGGAGGUCACAAAAGACCCCCAGAAAAACAGAACUGCUGGUCUCACUUGCAUCAAGCCAUAAGAACAAAACAUCAGGCUGGCCGCCUCCUGGCCCAGGCUCUUGGGGAGGACUACAGGGGCCCCCAUACAGUUGGGACAGCAUGAACAGCGCCAGGGAGGGACGGGAAUGCCUCACCAACUUUCCCUUGACCCCGUGAUGCCUUCGUCUUUCCUUCUGCGGGAUUAAAC
Oreochromis aureus is the source of this 353-nucleotide long non-coding RNA. NCBI's taxonomy places the organism in Eukaryota, Metazoa, Chordata, Actinopteri, Cichliformes, Cichlidae. The record is from Ensembl.